GUCCGGCUGAUGAGUCUUAAAUAAGAUGAAACGCGCGUCUUGGAU
Molecule: non-coding RNA, 45 nt
Filed under: Schistosoma curassoni
Lineage: Eukaryota; Metazoa; Platyhelminthes; Trematoda; Strigeidida; Schistosomatidae
Source: RNAcentral